This 73-nucleotide transfer RNA is filed under the name Ophiophagus hannah (king cobra). It matches the Rfam family "tRNA". From Rfam's summary of the family: Transfer RNA (tRNA) molecules are approximately 80 nucleotides in length. Their secondary structure includes four short double-helical elements and three loops (D, anti-codon, and T loops). The record is from Rfam by way of RNAcentral. Lineage: Eukaryota; Metazoa; Chordata; Lepidosauria; Squamata; Elapidae.
GCCUGUUUGGUCUACUGGUUAAAGCACCAGGUUGGAAACCAGAAAGCUGUGGGUUCAAGUCCCGCCUUAGGCA